This 466-nucleotide unclassified non-coding RNA is filed under the name Hevea brasiliensis (rubber tree). The record is from RNAcentral. Lineage: Eukaryota; Viridiplantae; Streptophyta; Magnoliopsida; Malpighiales; Euphorbiaceae.
GAUAAUAACAAUGGUGCUUAAUUGCUUAUGAAAAAAAUACACAUAUCGAAACCAUGCUAUUCUUCAAUUAUUUAUGUAGAAAUUUGGCCAAAUGAUUCUGGUUUUCUACAUCAGCAAGAAGUCACCUGAGAAAUAGAUUUUAUUAAGGUAUAUGGAAGUACAAGAAUUUUCACUCUUCAUAUAUGUCGCAUAAUUUCCAAAACCAAAAUGCUAAUAAACCCCUAACGAGGUUCUUAAGGCCAUCAGCGUAGACUUCCUUAGGAAAACCAUGGCCGAGGUCAAUGCUUGCUUGGUUCACUUCUGACAACCAAUUUAGUCCCCUGCCUACCUUCUAAAAAAAAUCAUACAUCCUUCUAUGAUAGAGUACAUGAUGACGAAUGAGGAAGAACCAGCCUACUACUCGCACUUAAUGGACCUGUAUAUGUGACGAACGAAGAACAGAGAGGCACGGAAACCCACUGUCCCA